CAUUUGCAGUAGGAAGACCUGUAAAAACAGGUCUGGGUAAAAUCAGUGGAGUUUCCCUUUAACAGUUACGGAGGCUAGGUAGGAGAGGGGGCGGGACUUCGGCUCUUUGUGGCAACAAUUAACGACAAUUAAGCAAACCUCCCACCAAUGCAGACUUUGUGAAGAUGUAAACAGUUUAAUUGGCAAUACAGUGAUUUCCGCUUAAAAGCUUUUGACAGUGGUGAAGUUAGAAAUGGUCCAGCAGAAAAAAAUAAUCGGUAAAUUCCCCCAAAAAUCGAAGUGGAAAGCAAUGAAACACCUGAUGCUAAAAGCAGACGAGGACGUUAGCAUGCUUACCCACCAGACAGCUAGCUAACUUCCCCAUCAUUAAGUUGGGAGUAACUUACUGCUAUAUUGGUAACUUUGAUGUAGAGAAACAUAAUUUCCUUGGACAAGAAAAAAAGAGGCUUGCCGUGGUUUCCAAAGGUGGCAACUAUGGAUGCAUUUGCGUAUCCCUGAUAACUAACAUUAUAUUGUUCUUAAUAAGGAACUCACAAAGAUUUAACUAUCGGAAGAAUGGCGCACUUUAACAUUAAAGACGGUGUCGAGGUACUAAGGAGCACAGACAAGUUGUUAAAGACAUGAAGGGAGAAGGUACACGAUAAUAUGACCAGAGGCCAAGAAUUCAUCUGACCUGAGGGAGACGUUUCAACUUAAAGAACUAUGCUGAAAGAUGAAGAAGAAGACAUGUCCCUAUUGGCUAGCCUUGAUCGGAGUGACAGCUUGGCAACUGUUGGCAGGCAGGAGAUGAGCCGGAGCGGAGAAGAUGGAAAAUAAUUGCACAGAGCCUAUUCAGUUGAAUGGAUCAUCAUGUGCAGCAGGCAAAGUUCUAUACAUCCAUCUUGUGGCCAUGCUGUUUCAGAGUGGCCAUUACAGCAUGAUGCAGGUGAAGGCGGUACCACCAACUAUGGCUUGCACAAGCUCUCUACAAACACGGCAUCGGCAACGAACACAGAAUGCACAACAUUCACAGGACCUCAUGAUAAUAGGCUCGUCGGGACACAGAGAAAGGAGCGAGACGCUUGUCAGAGUGAAUACAUCCGCGCCUGACCCGAGGGAGAUGGCUCAGUGCACGACACAUCAGUUACAGGACACCGAGAGACCCUCUCCCGCCUCCUCCCUUCUCGCAGGCUAAUGGUUGUCAAGUUAGAGAGGGCCUGUGCUCUUGUCUGUACCAGGCCUGUUGUCACGUGAAAUCCAUUGGGCGGUCGAUUGAUAAGGCAGGAGGCGAAGUGAGGCAGAAGCAGGGGAAGAAAAGAAGCUUUUUAUCUCCCAACUGUACUGUACUCUCCAUAAGGACUUGUUAAAACAUACUGAAGUAGAGUGGAAAAUUGAUGGAGAUGUCUUACAUUAUUAUUGUACUUCUGAGCCAUGGGUUGUAAGUUUUUAUUCUGAAAUGGCAAGAAAAUUGAAAAUAGUCUCUUGUGUAAUCCAAAACAUGUCAAAUGGAAGCUCUCUUCUGUCCGUAAAGAUACAAGAUAUAAGGUUGUGUUGAGUUUGGUAAAACGUCCUCAGAAAUGGUCAUAGAUCGAUAUUACUUCCAAAACCCACCAAUGAAAGUAUUUCAGCUUACACUUGAAGGGCAUUACUAUGAUAGCCAAUGGCUACCUAAAUACUACUAUUCUCAAAUACAGUUUUCCCUUAAUUCACUGAUAAUCUGUUCAUCAUUUAACUUGUUUACUCUUUUUCUCUCAUUGCCUAUGUCUUCCAAAAUUUCAAAAAUGUCUUACAAAUCUUAUUUCUCAAGACUUGACACUGCUACAAACUGUGGAAGAUGUGUUAGCUUCAGUGACAGCACACUGAGUCAUACUGUGGGUUUCUUAAUUAGAUUAAUUUGCAGGCAAUUUACUGGGGAGCCACUGGAUAGUUUAGAACCAAUUCAUGUGCUAUUAAUUUUCUGCUUCUUUUUUUAUUUAUUAUAUUUUUUGCAUGAGGGACCCUGUCAACACCCAUCUUUCUGACAAAUCAGUCAAAACAGCAGCAUAAUUUUCUCUUUUCUUUUCAGCUCUGAGCACAUUAAGUAGGUUUUUUGUUUAAAGUGUCAAACAUGUCAUUAAUAAUCAAUCUUGCAUUCUAUUUUUCAUGCCUGUUUCACGUCAUAUAUGAAUGAUAAUUAGUAUCUUUCAACUGUCACACAAAUGCUCAAGGCUGUACAAUGCCUCAUAUUAAAAAAAACCCCAAAACCCAGAUAUAUCAGAUAUUGAUAAAGUGUAUCUUUUGUCUUUGCUUGUAAUUACAUAAUAGGGAAGCAAGACAUACUGUACAUAAUAUAACAUAAUGCCUUAAAACGGCGUAAACCUUUACCGUAUAGUUUUUUAAUAGUUUUCAUCAGCAGCAUGUUUGUUAAUGUCUGUCUCAGCUCAUAUAUGAUGUUUAAUCAUAUUUGGUGAUGGUUAAGUAAUUUUUCCAUAGAAUGCUUAGAAUGCUUUUGUCCUGUUCCAUCUAAAGGUGGUAAUUAUGGAAGUUAUAGCUUGCCUACACAAAUAUACUUUUGGAGAGUGAGAUUAUUAUGUUUCUUCCAGUUGUUGGACAGAGAGUAACCCACUGAAUAUAAUCCAUGUUUUUACUGAUUUAAAAUUUUGGCAGCGAGUGUGCUCAUGUAUAAGCACCUUAAGGGAUUUUUUCAUACAAUCCUCCAGCUUCAUCUACAGUUAAGAUCAUAUUUGUCCAUUUGUUCAGAUAACCAAUGCUCUAGUCAACCACCCACUGUAGUAUUAAAGGUGGGGUAUGUGAUUCUAAUCCAAUACACGUCUUUUUGUCAAAUUCAGCGAAUAUCUGCUCACGGUCUGCUAGCUGUCCGUUCUCUAUGCACACUGAAAAAAAAUCUGUUGUUUGUACCCUGGCUCUAUAAAUGGGAAAUACACAAAAUGGCUUGGACUGAGCCACACAACACUAUUCCAGCCAUUCCUGCCAUGAUUUGUGUGUUAAAUGACAUUAAAUGACUUGCCCACGGACAUUCAGCUUACUUUCUAGUUUGACAAGAUAUGCUUUUGUUGUGAUGUUAGCUAUAGUACCAAGAGAGUUGUGAGUAUCGCUGUAUCGCUGACCCACAUUAACAUUAACAUAACAUUAAUAGCUGGUUAGUUGUUGUUGUUGGUAAUUGUAAUUGUGGGUGUGAGAUAACACUAUUGUUUACAUGGUUGUGUGGAAUUUUGUGUGUAUCUGUGAGUGAGAUGUGUACAGUAAAGGUGCAUAUAUAGUUAAUGGUUUAUACAUACUUUUAAUACGUAAUGUUGUUUGACGAUCAUGUUAUCUUACAUAUGUGACUGAAGAUAGUUGUUUCAGAGUAUUGUCUGAAACUGGUGCUUUCCUGGGCUCUUUUGAAGGAUGCUACUGAGCUGCCUAUGAUAAUUAGAGAGCUAUGACCUUCUCAUUAGAGCCAGGAGGCUGCUCGUUCUCUCGGGCCCUCCCUUCUAGCAUCAUGCAGCCUGCCACAGGACAAUCAGUAUAUCAAAGCAAAAAUAUUUGUUAAAGCCAAAAUUACAAAAACACACAGCACAACCUUUGAAUUACAGACCCUAAUAUAUGCAGAGUCAAAUGAAUAGCUGUGCUUACCCCCCCCCCGAUCCGUCCCAUCCGGCUUGCUUGUAGCUUAAAUUUUUUAUUACAAAUUUCCAGGGCUUCAAAGUAGCAUCUCAGAGCUAAUCCGUUUCUUUUCCUUUGACAAAGACAAAGACCUGUUUAAAAUUGUCCCUUUUGUUUGGACCUGCUUUCCUCCCUGUCUUUUACAUCUAAAUGUCAAAGAUUCUGGAUUAAAUAGAGUGGCACUCAUCUGGCGAGGCUGGCUGGAGAGAAUAAGAAGGGAUAAGAGGGGAGAGUAUGGCAGAGGGUGUUUAGAAACCCUUUAAUUAAUCUUCCACGUUGACUUUGUUUUAUUAUCUGAUGUACUGUAUGAGUCAUUAGCAUCUUGAUGUUCUCCAAAAAAUAGUAACACCUUUUUAAACUUCUGAUAUUACAUUCACAAGUUUAAUGGUAGAAUUAUGGCCUUGUGUGUGUGUUUGUUAGUGUGGGUGUGUGAAUUAAAUAAAAGUAAAGCUAGACAUGUAUUUUUUUAUUUUAAGUAUAACAGAAGAUUGGGGUAAACAAUGCUGAAAUUUUAACAUGUUGUCAUGUGAGGUCUCAGUAGGAAGAGAAGGGUUGUUUUUUAAUGAGUUUUAAUCCUGUCUAGACCCACUGUCACAGAAAGCUUUCCUGUUUCAUGUGCCGCAGCCAUUUUAGCAUGUUGUUGCUGGAUCAAGCUGAAAGAGGUUAAAAGCAGAAACCUGUACAUUAUCACUUAAACGUUUUAAAGUUUUGGAUAUUAUAGACAUCCCAGGCUCUUCAAGUCAAAACUCUGUAAUAGCUAGUCAUUGUGAUGAAUAAUUCUUUUGGACAGGAUAGAGUUAGCAACCAAUAUCCAUUAUAGCCCGACCAAGAUGCUGAUUUCGAUAUUUGGGAGUUUAAAAAAUCUGAUAGCUUUGGCUUUGCUCGUAAGCUGUUGAUUAAAGGUACCCUGUGGAGUUUUUGACCACUAGUAGUUCUAUGGAGCUGUAUUUUUGAGAGUGGGUCUCCAUUUUGUUUGCAUAGAGGACGAGGACGGGCAUGCAAGUGCAUGAGCACAUGGGGCAACACAAUACACAGUCCCGUUGGGUUUCACGCUAUUCCCCUGUUCGACAGUUCAUGGCGGUAACAUGCAAAGAAACGUAGCAAUGCUCUAAUAAAGGCAGUAAAGAGGAAGACUGCUAGCUAGUAAGCAUGGCUUUAAACAAUGCAGAAAUUAAAAUAUUAAGAAAAAAUCAGGCUUUAAGGAUAUACAGUUUCUUUUGCUGAGAAACACUGAAUGUAAAAAUAACUUUGUUUAUACGAGAACUCUGUAGUGCACCUUUUUAAACAAGUGAGAAGUGUGCGCUACCAAGGCGUGACUGCCCUCUGCUGGAAUUUUAAGAUGAGCACGACUGGUUUAUAUCAGUGUCUGCUCUGAUGAAGCUCUGACACAUUACUACUCUCAAAUGUUACAAAUCCAUUGAAAUUCAAAAUUAUAUCAAGAAAAAGCAAUGAGAAAAGAUAACAGUAUCCUUAGCAUUCAUGUAAUAGUAACAUUUAAUGUUAAGCAAUUCUGAAAAAUUUGUAAAUUUAUUAAAUCUGUGUGAAAUCAAAAUACAAUGUAAAAAUGUAGACAUUGCUCAAUCUUACAUCCUGAUGCAGUUUAUCAGGAGUCAGCUCACUGUUAUUCUGCAAGAUAAAUUGAAAUGUACUUCUAUACUCAUAACCCAUACCCGUAAUAAAACGCCAGUGGUAGAGUAAGUCACCUUGUUCAGAAGUCAUUAUUUAAAUGCUGAUAAUUACAUAAUUGUGCUGAUAAUUGGAAAGCUGUGAAAAAGUGCCAAUGUAAAUGUGUACUAAUGGCAUA
Long non-coding RNA from Siniperca chuatsi (mandarin fish), 5428 nucleotides. RefSeq lists it as uncharacterized. The record is from RefSeq and is a predicted model, not a curated record. Lineage: Eukaryota; Metazoa; Chordata; Actinopteri; Centrarchiformes; Sinipercidae. The transcript is spliced from 4 exons.